RNAcentral lists this ribosomal RNA (406 nucleotides) under uncultured bacterium. RNAcentral describes it as "partial 16S ribosomal RNA". It matches the Rfam family "Bacterial small subunit ribosomal RNA", at positions 28 to 526 of the family's 1533-position model. The record is from RNAcentral.
GACGAACGCUGGCGGCGUGCCUAAUACAUGCAAGUCGAACGAGUGGCGGACGGGUGAGUAACACGUGGGACCCUACCCAUCAGAGGGGGAUAACGUCCGGAAACGGGCGCUAAUACAGCAUACUAUACGCUGAGCAUAGGUCGGAUUAGCUAGUUGGUGGGGUAAAGGCCUACCAAGGCGACGAUCCCUAGCUGGUCUGAGAGGAUGACCAGCAACAACGGAACUGAGACACGGUCCAGACUCCUACGGGAGGCAGCAGUGGGGAAUAUUGCACAAUGGGCGCAAGCCUGAGGCAGCCAUGCCGCGUGUAUGAAGAAGGCCUUCGGGUUGUAAAGUACUUUCAGCGGGGAGGCGUUACCCGCAGAAGAAGCACCGGCUAACGCCGGGCCAGCCGCCGCGGUAAUAC